CGAGUCCGAGGAGCUAAGGCUCCAAAGUGAUGCGAGUCAGACUUCCCAGAAAAGCCCGAACCACGUUAAUUUCUAAUUACCUGUACCCGAAACCGACACAGGUGGGUAGGUAGAGUAUACUAAGGGGCGCGAGAUAACUCUCUCUAAGGAACUCGGCAAAAUGACUCCGUAACUUCGGGAGAAGGAGUGCCUUAUUUAUAAGGUUGCAAUAACAAGAUCCAAGCAACUGUUUAUCAAAAACACAGGUCUCCGCUAAGUCGUAAGACGACGUAUGGGGGCUGACGCCUGCCCAGUGCCAGAAGGUUAAAGAAGUUGGUUAGUGUAUGCGAAGCUGAUGACUGAAGCCCUGGUGAACGGCGGCCGUAACUAUAACGGUCCUAAGGUAGCGAAAUUCCUUGUCGGGUAAGUUCCGACCCGCACGAAAGGCGUAAUGAUUUGGAUACUGUCUCGGAGAGAGGCUCGGUGAAAUAGACUUGUCUGUGAAGAUGCGGACUACCUGCACCAGGACAGAAAGACCCUAUGAAGCUUUACUGUAACUUGAAAUUGGAAUUGGACUUUGCUUGCGCAGUAUAGGUGGGAAGCGUUGAAAAUAUUCUUGCGGGAGUAUUGGAGCUAUCAGUGAGAUACCACUCUUGUAAUGUUAGAUUUCUAACUUUGAACCAUAAUCUGGUCAAAGAACAGUUUCAGGUGGGCAGUUUGACUGGGGCGGUCGCCUCCCAAAUGGUAACGGAGGCGUACAAAGGUUUCCUCUGAACGGAUUGAAAUCGUAUCUAGAGUGUAAAGGCAUAAGGAAGCUUGACUGUGAGACCUACAAGUCGAGCAGGGACGAAAGUCGGUCUUAGUGAUCUGACGGUACUGAGUGGAAAGGCCGUCACUCAACGGAUAAAAGUUACUCUAAGGAUAACAGGCUGAUCUCCCCCAAGAGUUCACAUCGACGGGGAGGUUUGGCACCUCGAUGUCGGCUCAUCGCAUCCUGGGGCGGUAGUACGUCCCAAGGGUUGGGCUGUUCGCCCAUGAAAGCGGUACGCGAGCUGGGUUCAGAACGUCGUGAGACAGUUCGGUCCAUAUCCGGUGUAGGCGCUAGAAUAUUGAGAGGAGCCUUCUUUAGUACGAGAGGACCGAGAAGGACACACCGCUGGUGUACCAGUUAUCGUGCCAACGGUAAACGCUGGGUAGCUAUGUGUGGAGUGGAUAACCGCUGAAAGCAUCUAAGUGGGAAGCCCACCUCGAGAUGAGUAUCCUC
RNAcentral lists this ribosomal RNA (1243 nucleotides) under metagenome. RNAcentral's name for it is "bacterial LSU rRNA". It matches the Rfam family "Bacterial large subunit ribosomal RNA", at positions 1564 to 2815 of the family's 2925-position model. The record is from RNAcentral.